Molecule: unclassified non-coding RNA, 330 nt
Filed under: Hevea brasiliensis (rubber tree)
Lineage: Eukaryota; Viridiplantae; Streptophyta; Magnoliopsida; Malpighiales; Euphorbiaceae
Source: RNAcentral
AAUACAGCCACAUCCGUCUUGGCAUCUGGCGGCUGCUUUUCGGCGUACAUAUUAACGACGCGCUGGGCCGAGAUCGGAAGCGACGGGCUUUUGUAUGAGUUCNNNUCUUCAUUUAGCGGCCAGUGUCCGGCACGAGUUCAAAGCUGGUUAACUCGCGCUCCCACCAGUUGGCCUCCUGCAAGUAUUGCGCGGCGCGGCGCUCUAUGCGCGUUCGCUUUGGCUCCGGCACGUCGUACUCGUCGGCCAGUUCAUCGGCCAAUCCCCAUUCGAUGGCCCUAAUCCAUUCCUGAGGCAGAUCGGCGGAGUCACCGGCUGCGGUGAAAUCCUCAA